Molecule: ribosomal RNA, 492 nt
Filed under: uncultured bacterium
Lineage: Bacteria
Description: partial 16S ribosomal RNA
Rfam family: Bacterial small subunit ribosomal RNA
Source: RNAcentral
AGUGAACGCUGGCGGUAGGCCUAACACAUGCAAGUCGAACGGCAGCACAGUAAGAGCUUGCUCUUACGGGUGGCGAGUGGCGGACGGGUGAGGAAUACAUCGGAAUCUACUUUUUCGUGGGGGAUAACGUAGGGAAACUUACGCUAAUACCGCAUACGACCUACGGGUGAAAGCAGGGGAUCUUCGGACCUUGCGCGAUUGAAUGAGCCGAUGUCGGAUUAGCUAGUUGGCGGGGUAAAGGCCCACCAAGGCGACGAUCCGUAGCUGGUCUGAGAGGAUGAUCAGCCACACUGGAACUGAGACACGGUACAGACUCCUACGGGAGGCAGCAGUGGGGAAUAUUGGACAAUGGGCGCAAGCCUGAUCCAGCCAUACCGCGUGGGUGAAGAAGGCCUGCGGGUUGUAAAGCCCUUUUGUUGGGAAAGAAAAGCAGCAGGUUAAUACCCCGCUGUUCUGACGGUACCCAAAGAAUAAGCACCGGCUAACUUCGUG